Cornus florida is the source of this 1063-nucleotide long non-coding RNA. RefSeq lists it as uncharacterized. Lineage: Eukaryota; Viridiplantae; Streptophyta; Magnoliopsida; Cornales; Cornaceae. The record is from RefSeq and is a predicted model, not a curated record. The transcript has 2 exons.
CGCAAAAAACCCCCCUGAACUAUAGGGGCUUUGCAACUAACCCCCCUGAACUAAAAGAAACCCCCCUAAACUAUGAAUUUUUUGCAAUUUGCCCACUCAGGCCACUAGAAAAUAGGAGGACGAAACUGCCCUACCAAUAAAACGACGCAGUUUCAGAGUUGCAAGGCCGUGGAAAGGCUGAACACAGAGGUUAAACGAGCAUACGCGUAAUAGAUUGACCUUCAUCCACCAUCGACCCGAGCCUAAAGAAGGAGGCGCACGGCUGCGGACCGUCGGGAAGCCUGGCACAUAAGAAUUGGUCGUGUAAGAUCGCCAUCAACUGGGUUGUCAUCGACGGGCUCCGAGGAUCAACAACGGCCUUUGGGUUAGAGAAAUGGGGAAGUGGAGGAUUAUAAGGGCAACAGUGGACCAGAUGCAGCUAUCGCGACGAUGGUGGUGGUUGCGCCAUUAUCAAUCAAGUUGAGGGAUACAGAGAUUAAUUGGUCAAUGAUGAUAAGGAGUUCAGUGUUGUGAUGGUGGUUCGCCGCUGUGAGGAACUCGACAGACACCCACCGGUGAUGAGAACGGCGGCCAGGAUCCUCCUUUUCCAGCGAGAAGGCGGCGGUGAGCAGAAAGAGCACAACUUGGAGUGAUGUUUGUGAUACCAGCUGGUUGACUCGGAUGACAACGAUGAGGCUAGUUCGGAUCGGCGGUGGUAGCGAACAGCCCGGCGGUGGUGAUGGCUGUGAGUAGAUGGUGGGGGAAUGGCCCAGCGGUGGGCGACGGGAUUGGCCGUGGAGACUCGUUGGCGAGCUUUCGAGCAAGGUGGAAAGCUUUGGAGAGGAUGAACUUGGACGGUGGAGAGGACGGACGGUAGUGAGGACGGGCUCAGCAAGUUGAAUCGGUGGGUGGUGCACCGACGGUGCAGAAACGAGUUCGGUGAGAAAUUGGGUUUCUAAGUCUCUACUAUAAUGUGUUUGCCAUUGAUUUUGUUAUUUUUUUAUUUUAUUUUAUAUUUUUAUCACAGUUCAGCUCAAAAGUUGUGUGGUGUGGGGUGUUUUUUUUUUUUUUUUUUUUUUUUUUU